UACGAAGGGUCCAAGCGUUAUCCGGAUUUAUUGGGUUUAAAGGGUGCGUAGGCGGCUUAUUAAGUCAGUUGUGAAAGCCUGCAGCUUAACUGCAGAACUGCCAUUGAUACUGAUGAGCUUGAGUAUAGUUGAGGUGGGCGGAAUGUGUCAUGUAGCGGUGAAAUGCUUAGAUAUGACACAGAACACCGAUUGCGAAGGCAGCUCGCUAAACUAUAACUGACGCUGAGGCACGAAAGCGUGGGGAGCGAACAGG
This 253-nucleotide ribosomal RNA is filed under the name uncultured bacterium. RNAcentral's name for it is "partial 16S ribosomal RNA". It matches the Rfam family "Bacterial small subunit ribosomal RNA", at positions 524 to 776 of the family's 1533-position model. The record is from RNAcentral.